AUGCAGUCUGACCGGAUUUAUUUUUAACUGGCAAUAUUUGACCGGCUUUUUAGAAGAUGGGUCAACUAUCGAGAUGGGUGUGGGGGGUCCUGCUAUGCCUUACCAUUUCUUCAACUCCAGGUUCAUCUGCAGAUUCAGUAGACCCUGUCACAUUAAUCACUACGCCUGUGGCUUUGGCAAUCGAGAUCACCAAUGUGGGCUUCAAUGCCUCCCUUCAGAAUAGGGAAUCAGAGUACUCCAAGAUGUUGGAUGCAGAAGUGGAGACGCUGGUAAAGCCUCUAACAACAACAACAACACCACAGUUCCUAGAUAUCAGGACAAAAAAUAAACAAAUCCAUUUUGUAAAAGAUACUAGGUAGAUAUUUAGAGUCAAUUCCAGAAAAAAUGCAUUAGCUAUUGUUCUACACAGCUUUUCAAACUCAGACCACAGUGUGACAUGUAUUUAAACAGAAUGGUUUGAAUUAGCAUACAUACCUUAAUUUGUCAUAUUUUUGUUCCAAACAACAAGGUAGAUAAUUUAAUCAGAGCAACUAUUGGUGCGCAUUACAGCUUGAUGGCAUUUACAAAUGUGAAGCAUGCCCAACUAAACUCUUCUACGAAGGUGUUGAAUGCAUAAACUACAGGUAUUGUACUCUUAAAUUUAUGUUAUUGUCUGGGUAUGCUAGAUUUGUGUUUUGCUUUGGUUUUAUGUUGGUAUUUAAUAUUAGUUGUAUUUAUUAUUUUUAUACUUCACAGCCAUGGACUGAUAGCUAACGCGUCUAUCAUCUUCAACACAACUUCCAUCGACCCGAGUAUUGUCCGUGCAUUGUUUACAAUAUAUUUAGCAGAAGCCCUACCGCAGACAAGCCUCAAUGUGAACGAGGAAUACACAAGCGGUACAACCUUUAUUUUCACAUAUUUGUUCGUCAACAUCCAUAUCUUUUUCAAAUCACCACAGUUGUAUCCGUGUUCAGUGUUCAAUUACCUUCUCUGUUCUUUCUAUUUUUUCUCAAGAUUCAAUGCCAGUCAUAUUGGAUGAAGAUGUGUGCAAGAAAACUACUACAACUCCUGAGCCAACUACAACUCCUAAGACAUCUUCAACUCCUGAGCCAACUUCAACUCCUUCAACUCCUCAGCCUCCUCCCACCCCUGAGCCAACUUCAAUUCCUGAGCCUACAAAGACCACUGGCCUUAUCAUGACCCCUGACCCUUCCAAAACCCCCGACCCUACAAAUGCCCCUGACCCUACAGUGACCUCUGAUCCGACCCGUAGCGGAGGAACAUCUGACCCUUCCAGUGGUGGAGGAAACCGUGACGAUAGAGACUGGGUGCCCGGAUGGGGCAUUGCACUCCUGGUGUUAGCUGCAGCCAUCCUGUUGCUUCUCAUCAUCCUUUUCAUCCUUUUGUGUAUUCGCUUUUGCCGUAAGCGCCCAUCAGAGGACCCCAUGGAGAAGAACCCUGACCCAUACUAUGAUGAAAACAAGAUGCAUCCUCAGGAAACUGUGCCUGUACUCUAUCCAUCAGCACCGACAGCAGCGCCCUCAAGUCCAAUGCAGACAGAGAUGGUUGUUGGUGACACUCCCAAAAAGAAUCGGACAGGCUUCUAUGCUUUGAAUCCUUGACAUGAAGGCAAAUUAGUAUGUUUUGCGGCAUCAGGCACACAAAAGAUGACUAAUGAAACCUAUGGAAACAAGAGAAUAGAAGGCCUUUGUACCGUCAAUUAAUGCAUCAUCUGAAUUAUAUUUUUAUGAAUAAUAUUUAUUACAGUACUUUCAUUACUGUUUAUUACACUAUUUACAUCAAGAACUUUAUUUAUAGGGAACAUAUAUGUUGUAAUCAUUGUAUCAUAUUGCAAUUCAUCAGCAAUUCAUUCGUUAUUUUGUUAAGUGUUUUCUGCUAAAGCCCCAUGUCCAUUAUAAGCUUCGUCAAGGUGUCCGAUAAAUGGGUGUAGCUAGUUAUGGCGGGACACUCUAGUCAUGCGCCCCCGGCGGUCAAUUUAGGACCUUCCAAAUGAAACACCAAGUCUGUAAAGUGAAAGAUUCCAUAUCAUGCUUUUUUAGGGUUAAUCAUUGCAUUUGGGGGUACCAGUAUAAUAGGGUUACAUGCCUGUAUGUUAGAGAUACCCCUUAUUACUAUCACUGUUAAUUUCUGCAAAACCAAUUUCAGUGUCUUUCAAAAACGGUCUGAUUUGUAUCACGCCGCAUUAAGGCCCCCGUUCCGAGUAGGCCAGGCUUCUAUGAUUGGUCAAACUUUGAAUUCACGCCCCCAAGAAGUUUUUAACAUUGUGGGUAGCCGGGAGGCGCGUCUUCUGCACUUCAGCACCGCCCACUGCACUUCACACUAAUAUGGAGGUAAAGUUUGAGCACAAGCAAGCUGUUUCACACACUUAUCGAGGGGCGUUCUCAGGGGGCAUGAAUACUCCUUCUGGCUCAGAUAGAGAUUUUUCUAGCUUUGCAGACGUUAAACAUGUAUACAUACAUCAUACAUCAGUCUAAAGCAAAGGGAAAAGUCGAAAAAGCAUUAUAUCAUUCCUUUAAGUGUGCUGAGCAGAAUUCACCCAGCCUCCACCUGCUCUGGUUCUGCUCUGUGUUGUAUGUAACCGACACUACGGGUUCAUAUAUCUGAUGAACCCCAUGGAGGAUUGUAUUGUGCUCCCUGUUGUCAUGUUGGUAUUCUGUACCUGACAUCUAUUUGUGAUGCUUUAAAUCCUACAGCAGGGAGCACCAGAAAAGAGUGGAGACAUACUGCUCAACUAAAAUGUAUCACCAUUUCAUGAAAUAAAUGGUUAAAUCGAGUGAUUAUUUGCAGAACUUUUACGCUCAACUAUUGUUCUUCUUAAGCUUUAUCAUUCUUUAGUCCGAAGACUUUAGCCCUCUACUCC
Molecule: long non-coding RNA, 2860 nt
Filed under: Gadus morhua (Atlantic cod)
Lineage: Eukaryota; Metazoa; Chordata; Actinopteri; Gadiformes; Gadidae
Description: lncRNA (ENSGMOG00000030661.1)
Source: RNAcentral